UACGUAGGGGGCGAGCGUUGUCCGGAGUUACUGGGCGUAAAGCGCACGUAGGCGGCUUUCUAAGUCAGGGGUGAAAUCCUGGAGCUCAACUCCAGAACUGCCUUUGAUACUGGAGAGCUAGAGUCCGGAAGAGGUGAGUGGAACUGCGAGUGUAGAGGUGAAAUUCGUAGAUAUUCGCAAGAACACCAGUGGCGAAGGCGGCUCACUGGUCCGGUACUGACGCUGAGGUGCGAAAGCGUGGGGAGCAAACAGG
RNAcentral lists this ribosomal RNA (253 nucleotides) under uncultured bacterium. RNAcentral describes it as "partial 16S ribosomal RNA". It matches the Rfam family "Bacterial small subunit ribosomal RNA", at positions 524 to 776 of the family's 1533-position model. The record is from RNAcentral.